This 445-nucleotide ribosomal RNA is filed under the name uncultured bacterium. RNAcentral's name for it is "bacterial SSU rRNA". It matches the Rfam family "Bacterial small subunit ribosomal RNA", at positions 330 to 793 of the family's 1533-position model. The record is from RNAcentral.
GCCAGACUCCUACGGGAGGCAGCAGUGGGGAAUAUUGCACAAUGGGGGAAACCCUGAUGCAGCGACGCCGCGUGAGCGAUGAAGUAUUUCGGUAUGUAAAGCUCUAUCAGCAGGGAAGAAGAUGACGGUACCUGACUAAGAAGCCCCGGCUAACUACGUGCCAGCAGCCGCGGUAAUACGUAGGGGGCAAGCGUUAUCCGGAUUUACUGGGUGUAAAGGGAGCGUAGACGGCUGCGCAAGUCAGAGUGAAAGCCCGGGGCUCAACCGCGGGACUGCUUUUGAAACUGUGUAGCUAGAGUGCAGGAGAGGUAAGUGGAAUUCCUAGUGUAGCGGUGAAAUGCGUAGAUAUUAGGAGGAACACCGGUGGCGAAGGCGGCUUACUGGACUGUAACUGACGUUGAGGCUCGAAAGCGUGGGGAGCAAACAGGAUUAGAUACCCGCGUAA